UACGGGGGGGGCAAGCGUUGUUCGGAAUUACUGGGCGUAAAGGGCUCGUAGGCGGCCAAUUAAGUCAGACGUGAAAUCCCUCGGCUUAACCGGGGAACUGCGUCUGAUACUGGUUGGCUUGAGACCGGAAGAGGACAGCGGAACUGCGAGUGUAGAGGUGAAAUUCGUAGAUAUUCGCAAGAACACCAGUGGCGAAGGCGGCUGUCUGGUCCGGUUCUGACGCUGAGGCGCGAAAGCGUGGGGAGCAAACAGG
This 253-nucleotide ribosomal RNA is filed under the name uncultured bacterium. Its description in RNAcentral is "partial 16S ribosomal RNA". It matches the Rfam family "Bacterial small subunit ribosomal RNA", at positions 524 to 776 of the family's 1533-position model. The record is from RNAcentral.